Long non-coding RNA from Ooceraea biroi (clonal raider ant), 7367 nucleotides. RefSeq lists it as uncharacterized. The record is from RefSeq and is a predicted model, not a curated record. Lineage: Eukaryota; Metazoa; Arthropoda; Insecta; Hymenoptera; Formicidae.
UUCAAAAUUUUCAGAAAAAAGGGUGAGUAGGUAGAGAUAUUUUGAAAAAUUUAUGGAAAAAUUAACAUUUAUGGAAAAUCUAUACAUACUGAUAUAAAGCGCUUUUAAAACUAUGAAACUUUUAUUCGGAACAUUUUUUCAUAUCUCUCAUCCUUUCGAGGAUAUUCGAUUAGAAACAAAAAAAAUCGAUAUUUUUCGAAGAUAUGUUUCCAUCUCUAAAAAUGAAUAUUAGUCCGAAUAAAAAAUUGUUACGUUAUUAGGUCUACUGUAUUAUACAAAAUUUCAGAUUUUUUUGAAUUUGACAGUCGCCGAUGUUCGCUUGUUAGUUUGCUGGCAGGAAAGAAUUUUUAUGGAGAACAAGUGAUAAAUAACUGUAAAACUAUUUAUAUCGCAUCAUAAAGGGUGAUUAAAGUAGAUCGACCGCGGUUUUCAUGGGUUUGCCAUCGACAAGAUGAAGCAGUCUCUCUUCCUUUCUCUUUUGCGUUUAAUCGCAACCACGACACCGCAGCGAGCUCAAAGGGGCCACAUUGCCUUCCAUGAACGUCAGCAACGUACGAAUAUUCUCGCAAAAGCGCCGUAAGCGUUUCUGAUGCAUGGAGAAUUUACAUAGGAUGUCUUAGAUAUCUGUUACCCAAUUAUAUGCAAUCUUAUUUAGAAUUUUAACUAAAAAAUUUUAUUUAGGAUAGAUUUCAAAGUACCUACUUAGUUAUAGAUUUGUCCGCGGUUCAGAAUAACUUAUAUUCUUUCCGAUAUCUCUUUAAAACUUUAAUUUGUGUCUUGAAUUAUUUUUUAAUCUAUUCUGAACUAAUAUCUAUUACAAUAUCUAUAACAAUAGGUCAAAUGUGUAUGUGUCUGUGUGUGUAAAUCAAUGCUGAUAUUGAAAUUAUCGAUAAUCAUUGCACCAUAACUUAAAAGGAGAAAGUCCGGAGAUUUCGAAAAUGACAAAUAUUUGUGAUAGUAGAAACGACUUUUUAAUAAAGCACUUUUAAAUCACGCAGUUACGACGCAGAUAGUAAGAAUAAUGCACUUGGCCUUGAUUUUCAAGACUUUGAACUCGAAGACACUUUGUUAUUAUUAAUUAUCCUUGACGUUACAUUGUGCAGGUGCCUUAUUAUAAUAAACCCGCCGAAGGAAGGCGAACGUUGACGUAGUGAGCACGGCCACGCGUUAAUCCCAACUGUUAUCGCUCUGGCUAAGUAUAACGAGGUCCUCAAAUGGAGUAACAAAGUCACGGGCUGGAAGCCCGCGAAAGCUGUAGAACCAACCUUGCCCAUGAUUAUACAGAGACGCAAUGUUGCCGAAAGUCUUUAUUUCCUGAUACUUAUUUUUAUCCAUCGGGAAUACGGGAGCGGUUCAUGAGAUCACGCGAAAUUUACGGUGGCAAGUAAACGGCGUAAACACCUGCGGAAUAUAAUCCUGGGAAACAGCAGUUAAAGUGAAGAAACAAAAGUUCGCGGGGUGGAAGAGAAGGACGGCUAAAAACGUCGUCGAUCCGCGGAUGGUGGACGUCACCCUUGAGUUUAUUGCGACGUGUAUUUUUAGCGACGAGUCUCUCUCUCUCUCUCUCUCUCUUGGGCCGCUUCCCGUGUCUCCUUCGGCCCCGCAGCCGAAAUCCACCGCGCGCGUUGCGCGCUUUGCGUAUGUACGAGCGUACGCGCGCGCACAUAUUCCACGUACAUGCCGAUAAAUAUACUCGGCCAAAUAUUUAGAGAGCUCCACCGCCCACGGCGACGACGGCGGCGGUUAAAAUUACUUGAAUAUUCGUCACGGAAUUCGUCGUAAAACGAUCAUGGAGACCGAUCGAUCCUCCGCUCGUCCCCCGUUGGCGGUGGCAAAGGACGAGCAGAGAAUCGCUUCGCAAAGCGAGUUCGACGGUUCCUUUCGACGGAUCGAUGGCUCGCUUUGUUAGCGGCGAAUGCCUGUUAGCGACAGUAUCGACGAUGUAGCCACUGAUUUCCCCCGUUCUGCCCGUAACAACGAAUAGGACAAUGGGAUCCUCUACCACGGGGUGGAGAACUACCGGGACAUUAUCCCAUCGACCAAAGUGCCCCUUAACGAACGUCGCGCUCGAUCCACCGUGUUCGAUGACCAGCGCGAUCACGUAUGGGAAAUUGGCGUCCGGAAACGGAAACUGAGAGUAAUUGACUUGGGUUCCUUUUGUUGUUUCCGAAAGCAGCAGGAAUCUUAGGUCUCACGGUUCACGUUGAUUGACUACAUAAUCGGAUGAAAGUCUCGGUUGCCCCCGCGUAAGACUGGACGGUAGUGAUUUAUUGGCUCUCCGGCCUCUGAAAGACUUCCGCGGCGUUUGAUAAAUUGCCGGACCGUCGGGUUUCGAGUCCAUGAACGCGAUUUUUCGCUUCGCACGUCAAAUAGGCCUUUUCCCAUCGCUGCAACGUAAUGCGCGACCGUAAUGCAACCGCGAGCGUUUCACGGAUUGCUUGAAAUUCGGCACCCCCCGCGCCGCGCGGGGAAUUUCCGAAUUGAUCGGCCUUGUUCACGUGCGCAACGCUAGACAUCGGUAAUCGAUGAUGCCACCCAUACCGGUUACCAAUGUUAGCAUAUACGUACUCUCGACGACGUGGAGGACGUAAUAACGGCGAGGACGUCGGAGAGAAGCGAAUGACAGGCGUAACAGGUGAUACAAGCGCUCGCAGUGUCGCCGGAACCGCGGAUGCUGUGUAUUUGCGUGGUUAUUGGUGGUAAUAUCCCAUUAAUUUUCCAACUACACUCUUGCACCUUGCUGUCAGAUUUAAAGUGUUCACAACAACGCGCUCGUAAUGAAAUUAUUUAAUAGGUUCGAAAUAUCGCCCCAGAAUGGACUGAGGUAUUUAAAUCCGACACUGAUAAAUAUAAAUGUGCAGUUGUAAUAUUAACGCAAUAAAAUUUUAAUGAUAAAUGACAAAUUUAAAGCUGAUUUUUUCUAGAUGAACUGGAUUAAUAUAAUCUUCUUCUAUUUUUUCUUCAUCAUUAUAAAAAUAUCUGUUUAAGAUAAGUAUUUCAAAUAAUUUAAUUAUUCGCAGUUGUCUUAUCGAUAGAAAUGUCGAUAGUAAAUGUUAUGCCUUUUAUCGCUGAAGCUGUGCCAAUCUCUUUCAAACGAUUUUAUCAGUGAUUUUACUGCUAAAUUACUAGAGAAAGGAAAUGAAACAGAAAUUAUUUUCACAUUCAUCCGGAUUCAGCCGAGAAUCAUACCGCGAGCUCUGACAUGCUUUUGAUUAAUUAACGGUUUUACAUUUAUGUAAUUAGCAAAUAAGAUUCGCAAGAUUCGGAUUUGUAGUCAUAACUUUUCUGUAAUUUUAAUUUUAACGCGAUAAAAAGAAAAAAUACUUUUUAAAAAUUCAGGAAUAAAAUGUUAAAAUUGCUAUUAUAAAUAUAUUUCUAUUACUUUAUAGAGAAUUCUAUUACUUUAUAAUUGAAGCUUUAUUUAUUCUAGAAAUAUAUCAACAUAACAAAAUGUGCGUAUGAGAUGUGAUGCGAAUGGAUACGGCUUCUGAUUCUUUAGGUUCUUACAAUUUUCAAAUGAGAGCUGUACGAAUAAUUCGAGCUUAGCCGGCUUUCUAGCUGCAAUAACUGAGGACUAAUAUUUGGUGCUUGCGAACCGGAGCGAGAAUACUCCGAAAGAAGUGAUUUCUGUCUGAAUAAAUGGGACUCGCGUAUAUUGCAAUCUACCGUCUCUACUCCGUGGAAAAAUGCUUCGAGAAAAAUUCUUUAAAACCAUGGAUAUUAACUGAGAGAUGCGAGAUGUGCAAUUUCUUGACCUACAUUAUUCUAAUCGUCGUUAUUAUCGUAUCAUUAGCUUCUCUUUUCUUCUCUUGUACUGAGAUAUAUAUACCUCGUAACUAUCUCGAAAAGAAAUGUUACACAUACAAUGUUAUGAUAGAUCGCAUCCUAGCAAUACCAAUAAAAAAUAAACAUCGCACUUUUUUCGGACAAAGAUAACACGAGAUACGAGAUCUCGCGCAGUCUUUUCUCCACUGUUUAUUUGCACGGAACGAGCGAAUCCUAUCUUUCGUUCAAUAAAAUACUCGUUCGGUCAGGCAGUCCAGAUGUCGAUGUUGCCACCGAUGCGUACAACUCGUACAUUUUUACAUGUCUGACACGUGUGUGGAGAGCACGAUCAAAAGCAACACGAGACUUUGACCACGGAGUGUGCACAAACCGGCGAUUAUACGUACUGUCAAAGGAACUGCGCUGUCAAACAAUCCGGAUUGCGCAAAACACCCCGUCCAUCAUGCGAGUGCUAGCUGCUGGAGACUAGCGGAAGAGCAGUUUCAGGACAUGAACCCGCGGGAGUGUCUGAGUAAACUAAUCGUUGCAAUGGAUUUACGAUCGAGUGGAGAAGUAGCAUCGUUGAGGAUGAAACUGCCCUUUCGCUCGAGUCAUCAGCUCGCGUUUACGCGCGGCCGAAUGGAGAUGAGAGCACGAGAUAUCAAGUUUAUAUCGCGGAAGAGAGUGGAACGAGACGGAAAGUAGUAUGACGACUGCGUGUGCACGCGUCGGACGUCAGCAUUUCCUUUCCCGGGAGGCAGUAGGGGUAAGUCUAAAAUUAUCGGCAUAUUUAUAUCGUUGAAAUCAGGAAAGCAAGCUCUACAAGUCGCGGAAUGAAAUAAGUUCGCGAACUAAAGCUCCUUAAAUUAUUUCGAAGGCCGGUUAGCGUAACGCGGCGGCGAGUCCGCGUUUCCACCAACAAGUCGAGAAAUUUUACACAAAUUAUGUUUGUAUCUGAAAAUAAGAAUUGCACAUGUACACGCUCAAAAUGUGCGUUAUGUCACGCGUAAGAUCCUGUUUGACUAAAUCUGUCCUUGCCUCAAAUCGACUGAAAGACGUAUUUUGAGAGAACCAUCCGCGAUAUCUCUAACUUUCGUCUUCUAGCGAAAUGGGUUUUUUGGACUCACAGUCUUCUACUUCUUAGAGAUUUAUGACACACUGCCAAUUGCUGCUCGCUUUAACGGUCUGGCACGAGAAGAACGAAAGACGCCGUUCAAUCUAAUUUCGGCACGAAUUUCAAGUUCGAUUUCGCUAUCGGAAUUAACGAGAACCGCACGAAAUGCAAUCCCGCAGAAGUGGCCGUUUCGCCGUCACUUCAACGUCAAUUGAAAAUCACGAUUGGCAUCAACGCUAAUGCGCGCAGCUCCACGACCAAUAAAAUUCUCCGUCGAGGUUUUACGAUUAUUAACCUUCUAUCUUGAGAGACGGCGAUAAAAACAAGAAUCAUGGGCAUUGUCUCUUCGUUGGAAUUGCCCGGGACUGCUACAAAUAAAGAUAGCGUUCACCCUUUCGCGCGGUAACUCUCACCCCUUCUUUCAAUUCUCUCUAAAGCUAUAUAAAAGAGUGUCCGUUAACAUGUAACGUUUCCUUUCGAGUUUACAACCGUUUAUGUUACAAAGCACUGCAAACACAGCUAGGCAAUGACUUGUAUCGCAGUUUACUAGUUCCAGUUUACUUUGUAGAUCGAUCACAAACUGGCAAAGUGUAUAGUAGAAUCCGGCGGCACCGAAACUUACGUUCGCUUAAUGGACUACUCCUGUAACAACCAAUGAUGCUGCCGCUAGCAAAACAUUCAUGAACGCAAUUCAGUCGACUGGGAUUGAAAUACAUCUCGCAUAAAAUUGAUGCGUUCAAUCCGGUAGUUCCGUAAUCGGCCGGAAACGAUGUCCGUAAACGAUGUCCGUAAAACGCUUCGUUGCAAGAACAUAAACCGAGCAUCGUUAUCGUUUCUCGAAACGAUAACGGCGUGUUAAUUCUUUCCGCCGUGGUGCGCGUUAAGUGAGUCUCAUUUCACGUUUACGACAAUUCGCAACGCGCAAGUAUCACCUGAUUAUGCGAGACGACCUGAAUUGACGCGGCCGAGAAUUAUGCAAAUACCGGACACUGUAUAAUUUGCACGCUGGAUGUCAUCUCCUAACUACACAAGAUCGAUACACGCUGCUUUACGAUAUUGCCGAGGUGCACUGUGCGCAAGCAUAAUGGCCAACAACGUAUUAUUCGCAUUACGACCCCGUGAAAGCAGACAGCGCCGACCUUUAAAAUUUUUACUUGUCGCUCGUGGGUCGCCCUAUUUCGCCUGUUUUUCCUGCCGUGACAGCGAGGUAAAAAAUUCAUGUUCUUUGUAGCGCAAUUUUUGUAGCGCGGAUCUGAUGUAAAAGCAAUGCGACAUUAUAGAGCGCUUUGGUGCCGCAAUGUUCGCCGCACCAGCGGGCUUUAAUACAUAUGGCUAUCCACGAGAAACAAAUUCACUUGCCGAUAUAACUUCCGCGUGGAUUUUAACUUUCAACUGGAGUUGGCCGAUGGAUUUCCGCUGAGUUUCGAACCCGGCUACUGCCGGAAGCCGGAUUACGGAAAUUAUUUAGCUGUGGAGAAUUGAUUCAGAGGCUUUAACUGGUAUACCUGGCAACUGCAAGUAUUGGCUAUUGAAGAAUCGCUAAAAUGAUUGAUCGAACCAAUAAUACGCAUUACCGACGCUGAAAUGAUCGCAAUGAAUUAACUGCAGUUGUGGGUGUAGCCAAAUGUCAGCAAUGACGGUCGCUCUAUAUCCGUACCCUUCAAUGACGUCCAACGUCAAAAUCGAACGAUCGCAAAAAUCAAGCGUGUGCAGGCUUGACCUGAUUUCGCCGUAAGCGCAUAACGAUGUAAACGCAAUGCUCUAAAACGCCGAAACGAGACGCCACCCGUGCAAUUCAGGCGCAGGAAGGCGUCUUAUGAGUUUAAGAUCGAUACGAUGCACGCUUGGUAAUUUUACCGCAAACACGUCGAUUAUUGUAAGCGCUGUUUCUCGGAAUUCAAGAACAUCAAAACAAGUUUAUAAGUUCCGUGAUUCGCUUGAAUUAAUUUACUUGCUUUCUGUAAACAAAUGAUAAAUAUAUCUUUAAAGUAUCUGGGAGACACAAUUAUUUAAGCACAUUACAUUAAGAUAUAGUUUUAAAAUGGACAUAAAACGUUUUGGAGAAACCAGAUAGAAGUUCAGAAAUAGUAAAAGUUAAAAGUAUAAUUCAUUGAAUGUUCAUUAAAAAAGAGAAUGUUUCUUAUAAAAUGUAAAUUCCAUAUGUUUAUGUAUUUUUAAUUAUGAUACAACGGUGUCUUUAUUAAGCAUGCAAGUUAAUAUAAAUACCAAGACUGUAUAAGAUGUGCAAGCUUAAAAAUAUUUGCACAAAAAAUAGAUAUAUCCAUAAUUGAAAAUUUUAAAACCGUGAAUUCUGAUGCUGACAAAGAUAGAACGUUACAUGUGACGCGAAUCUGUACAAUUUUUGCAAACACAAACUCUGCACACGAUAUCAUCCGUGACAGCAUCCGAUAUGUCUAUUAAAAUACAAUUCCACGCAAACAAUCAGUCAUAUAUGAAACUGCUCAAUCAAUUAUACGUAUAAAAACGA